UGGCGGUGCAGUUUAAUCGAUGUUUGUGCGUUAAGGCUUGUCACAACCACAGAGUGAAAUUGAGAAAAUAUUUGUCCGACCAGUUUUUGCAUAAACUAAUAUAAUACUGAUAAACUCGAAACUACAAACAACAACAGUAAUUUUGACUUGUUAUUUCAUCGAGUUUUGCAAUGCUAGAUUUGACUCAUUGAUGUACCUGGGAUAUUAGAGGUUGCUACAUAUGUGAGUGAUAAUGACUUCUUUAAAUGAAACAACAGUUUUAUGUCGAACCAGGGCUCAGGAUUUGAGGAGUGUGAAAAAGCUUAAUUGCUGGGGCAGUGAAUUGUGUGAUGUCAGCAUUAUUAAGCAUAUGCCUAAUGUUGAAGUUUUGUCACUAAGUGUGAAUCAUCUAUCAAGUUUGGCUGACUUUGCUCACUGCCCGAACCUUCAAGAACUUUAUAUAAGGAAGAACAACAUUUCUAAUAUCAAUGAAAUUUGUUACCUACAAAAAGUACCAAAACUUCGAAGUCUUUGGUUAGCUGACAAUCCAUGUGCAGAGAAAGAAAAUUACCGCAUGACAGUCUUACGUGCAUUGCCACAUCUUCAGAAGCUUGAUAACUUAAUGGUUCAGCCAGAGGAAAUAGUCCGAGCCAAGAAAGAAGGUGAUAUUUUAAUCCAUCCUGAAGAUAUUGUAGAGAGGGAUGAAUCUCCAUUAGGAACCAGGGAGAUGCAUUCUGUAAAACCAGUUCACAUUCCAUCCUCUGUUCCACAAGCCAGAGAAUUUGAUCGCAAUGACUUAAGGAAGGAGGAACUUUGCCCAACUCGACCAGAAGUUUUAAUGGAGUUAGAUUUAAGAAAAGAAGAUAAUGUAAUGAAACAGGAACGUCGUGCUACUUCUCUCUUUGCCAGAGUUGAAAAAGAUCCUUUUGGUGAUGUUUACUCACCAGGAAAGGCUGAACACUGUCAGCCAUUUCACCUGACGUCGGAACCAUCCUCUCAGCAUGGUGUAGUUCCACACCAACAUGCUUUCCAUGCUCGUGUCCAAACCCUAGUUGAUCAUUCUGGUAGACGAUCUCGCAAAAAUGUAGAGCUUGGCUGUGAGAACUCCCUUAUGACAAGCACAAGUGAUGCUGCUUCCAUAGGACAUCCAAUCAUAGAUUCAAGAGAUCUUCAACAGGCUCUUGAAUCUGAUAGCAGUGGUUCCAUCGGAGAUGGAUAUCGUUAUGUCCACAGGGUCCAACCACUUGAGGUGCGUCAUAUUUCUCAUUCUGAUAAUGUGCAUCACAAUGGUUCCAAUCAAAAAGGUGACAAAGUAUCACCUACUCGUCUUCUUACAAAAGGAGGAAAGAAUAGGAAUGCCAACAUCCUAUCAGCAGUUCUGUGCUUAAUUAAAGAGUUGGAUUAUGCAAGUCUUGAAGUUGUGGAGACAGCCAUUCAUUGCCGCAUGGAAGAAAUGGAUGAUUAAUUACCUCAAAUAAAGACCAUAUUUUGAUGGUUUUAACUUAACAACAAUAACACUUGCAAAGGAAAUAAUUUUAAAUCUGAUUUUACAGUUCUACAGCUAUUGUUGAAAAUUUGUCACCAUGAUGAAAAGAGUUGCCAAGUAGAGUGCUUUUCUUUUUUUUAAGGUAAUGUUAUUAAAAAUAAUUUCACAUGUAGUUUUAUUGCUGUGAAAGCUGAAUCUUAAGGAAAGUAAAUGCUAAUAGAACUUUAAGACCUUGCAAAAAAGUGCUAAUGAGUCUUGCAUAAUUUCCUUUACAUUUUGUAAAAUAUUAGAAAAAAAAAGGCUUGUACAGAGAACUAAUGUAUAUUCCAACGUAUUAUGCUGGUAUACCAGAUACUGCAUUGUGUUUUCAAUUUUCUACUGAUUUCUUUGUUUUAUUUACAAUGUACAGUCAUAAAAAUCAGAAAAUUAAUAAAUUUGAGCAUUUUAUUUGUACAUAAUUUGCCAUUUAGUUUAUACAUUUAUUUAUGCAACACCUUUAACUGAUAAAGUUCAUGUACUGAACUACAGAAGUUCAUUAGGUUGUGCCAUGCAUCCACAUGGUAUUAUAAUAAGUCUACAUUAAGACUGUUUAUUUUAGUAGAAAAAUCUGUAGAUUAUUUGUUUGAUAAAGGCUUAUGUGGUCACUAUUAACAUUUGUUAGUACUAUCAAAAAGGCAAUGUUCUUGAUUUAAGCAGAUAUCUACGUUAUUUAGUACAUUUAUUUUCUUGGUCAUUUCAGGUUUUAAUCAGAAUUUGGUGGUAAUUAUGUAUUUUAUAUUGAUCUAUAGUGGUUUUUUUUCCAAUUCAUAAAGCUUUUCAUACAAGUUAAUAUUUGCUAACAUUUCUUAGGUAUUGAAUAUAGCUGAAUAUUAUUUCCAGUAAAAAAAUAUGAAUUUUACAAAUAUUCAAAUACAAUUAAUACUGUCAUCAGGGUUUCAACUUUACUUCUAGGAAUGUGUAAUAUUAACAAGAACAAUUUUUACAAACAGAUGUAGCUGCUUUACUGAAAUAUAGAUUUUUGCAAGUUAUGGUGCAGUAAAAAUUUAUUUAUCAUUUUGACACUGUAAAAGAAGUGAAUUCAUGAUGUAGUUUCAUAUCAAAAUUUAAUAUGAAACUUCACAAGUUUUACUGUGUUUUCUCCUUACUAAGUUGUUUGUUCUUUGUGGACAAUAUUAGUAGGUAUCUAUUUUUUCCAUAAUAUUGUAUUAGGGCCAAGAGGAUCUUGUCUAGCUCUAGUUGUUAGACCCAGUGCUAAAUAUACUUAGUGAAAUUUAUCAUAUGUGAUUUACUCAGUUUAUCAGUACAGGUAACAUGUAUAUACAUAAGAAGGUAUAGUUGGAGAACAGGAGUUGUGGGAGAUAAAAUGUGAAACUGACUUACUUUCUUGCAUUUUUAGCUCUUACUUAAUGGUUUUGGUGAAGCAUUAUAUUUUAUUGGAAUAUUUUCAUAUAUCCAUUAAUUGUGUUUAGUUUUGAUGUUUGGUGUAUAAGGAGGUUUGUAGUGUAUGGAUUUAAAAACUAAUUAUUGGAUAAGAAAUUGUGCAAGAAAGUUUACAUUAGAAAUGAUUGCUGGCUCAAUAGUUUUACAUGGAAGUUUAUGGCUUGGGAAGCUAAGAAAUGAUCACUGGCUCAGAGUUUGUAAGUUAAAAAUUUUUUUUUUUAGGGUGGGAGUAUUCAAAGUUUUGCACAAGGUCCAGGAAAAAUUCAGAACAGAAUCCUGAUGUCCAAGUAUUAUUUGCGUAUAUAUUUACAAUCUAAUUUGUGUUGAAUUUGAAAUUAAGCACAUAUUAAAUGUUACAAUAGUAGUUAAUAUUACUGUCUAAUUGUAAUCUGGGUAGUAAGUAAUGACUUGCAGUCAAAGGGAAUGUGGAGGCUCAUGGCAGUUAUUAUAUCCCCAUUGGUUGCUUUUGACAAGAUUCAUAGUGGAGAAAAAUUACUACCGAACAUUGUCAAAACAGAUGUCAGAUUUUUUAGCUAUGUCUAAUUUCCUUUUGGAAGUAAAUUUAUAUUUUCAAUUGGUUAGACAAUUUAUCCAAUACAUCAUUAGAAAGUGGAAUUGCUACUUGUUCUUAAGAUAUAGUUUGUUAUAUAAUUUUGCUCUGCCAGCUAGAGAGAGAGAGAGAGAGAGAAUUUGAACAGUUGGAGACAUCUGCAUUGUGAAGAUUAGAGAUGAAAGAUUAAAAUACUAUUGUGAUGAAUUUUGAAGAUAAUUUAUCUUUAAAAUUAAAGAGCAAAAGGAUUAAGGUCUUACAGAUUUGUGUAAAAUGUAAAACUUCCCAUCAGUUUGAGGGUCUAUAUUAGGAGUCAGUGAGUUAGUUAUUACAAGGGAUUGAUUUAAAUGUAUGCAUAUUUUAUUUUUCAAUUGGAGAUGAUGUAUUAUCCAUUGCAUUUUUUCUUCUGUCAAUCACUGUAAUCUAAUUGAUUACAUGGGUAUUUAAUGAUAUUAAGGGCAAGUGAUAAUCACAGCAAAACACAAAGCUGUAAUUGUGGAAUGGGUUUAAGUGAGAGCUAGAAGUAAGUGUACAAAUGAAUGCAGGUGAGUUAAAAACCACUAGAGAUAGCAGGCUUACAUGGAUCUGCAAAGACAGACAUUACACAGUGUUCAGCUACAUAUCUGUUUGUUGGAAUUAAUGUAGAAUACUCCAAAGAAAACUUGAAAAGGAACACAGUCCUUUAGGCCCUACGGUUCCAUCACAUGUGUAGAGUUAGUAAAGUUGGACAAUUAAUCUACUUAAUAUUAUGUCAUAAACAGAUGUUCUUUUUCACAUUAUCUGAGGUUUUCAAGCGUUUCUUUCUCUUGUGUUUCUGUAUUUUCCUAUCAUUGUACCUGGCUAUUAUUUAAAGUUUUGAUGUUAUAAAUGUAAAAGGUGAUAUUUAUGAGAUGGGGAAUAAUCUUUGCAUUAAACUGGUUACAGAUAGUAUUUAUAUUAAACCCCAAGUCCAUUUUGACUCUGCAACUUUAGUGUUAACUUAUCAGAAAAAAACAUUGAGGCACCAAAUUAUGGUUACAAAAAGUAAUUAAAUGUUGGUUUAUUACAUUUAAAAUAACAACUUUGAAGUUUAUUGACAUUUGUUACCGCUAUUUAUCAAGAGUAGAAGUAACAUAGAUUUAUUUCACGAUGUGGACACUAUCAAUAGUCAAGUCAUCUUUUUUUUCUAUUAUUGCCACAUUACUAAAAAAUACAGUUUUAUCAUACUAAAAAUCAUUGAAAGUUGGACAUGAAAAGAAGAGCAAUCAAAGCCAUCCUCAAACAUUUUCAAAAAAGCCUUUAGUAGGUAGUAUGCUUUCACUAAAAGUGGUUGAGUUUUUGACAAUUUCAGUAUCUGGCUGAUCAAAAUGUGAUUUUACUUCUCACAUUUCCAUUUCUAGCAAUUCAAAGUUGUUCUAAAUUGACAUAGACAACUACACUUGCCUAAUCUUCUUAGCUGUUUAAUGUACCAAUAAAGUUCUUGAAAUUGUUUUGUAAAAAAAAAACUCUUCAAAUUAUUCUAUUGUCCUCAGAUCCUUCAAGUGAGACAUUAGUAAGUAAUUUCCAUUGUCACAUGUUUGAUUUAAAGAUAUGGAGGAGAAAAUUUAUCUGCAAUAGAAAACACUAGUUAAGUAAACUUCAACACCUAAAUUUUCAAAAUUAGUCCAACUGCAUGAGCGAGCCAUUAGUUUUAGCUGUGUAAUCAUCUCGACUCUAACUGAUUUCUUUCAAAGUGCUGUUAGAACUUUGUUGAUCAGAAAGAUGCUAUUAAUAGAAGCAUUCAUUACUAAUAAUCUUUCAAAUAUGUUGUCUUUAUGAUGAACGUUUAUUACCUGUAUUAACUCAUAAAUAAUAGCUAUGCCAUUAUCAACAAAGUUACACUAUAUCCUGUAGACACAGAUUUAAAUUGUGACCCAAGCAAUGCAAAUACAAUUAUCAUUUUUUUUUCUUUUUUAACAAGAGCUUUAACACUAUUAUGCACAUCACCCAUACUUGUAGCAUCAUCAUAAGCUUGGCCUCUGCAAUGUGACAGUGAGUUUGGAUCAGCACAUCUUUGAUAUUACUAAGUAAUGUUAAAGAUUUGGUAUUCAACUGCACAAGACCAAGUGGCUCCUCUUGAAUUAAAUAAUUGCUAUAAAUCCACCAAGUGAUAUGCUCAUUACUACAAAUACCUGUUGUUUAAGCAAUUAUAGCAAACCAUUGUUUUUAAUACCAGUUAAAACCUGCUCCAUCACAAUGUUAUCCAUUUCCAUAUUAUGGUAAAUCUUUUAUUCACAAUUUCUAGUAAAAUGCAUUUCCUUGUGGAAUUGCAGUCUUUUAGUUCUGGGAAAGCUUCAUUUUAAAAAGUUAACUAACAAAAGUUCCCUUCAAAUGCUACAAGAUCUUUAUGAUGGCCUCUCAUUGGAAACACCUUUGUUUAACCAGGAAGUGAACACAUAAAAGCAAUUUUACAAAGAAUACUCGGUGACGUUUUUAAGUUAUUUCUAGUUGUGUAUCCAACUGAAUAGCAAUUGUAGUAUAUAGUGACUUAGCUUUUAUAUCACUUUCCAAUGUAGAUCUAGAUAAUUUAUUUCAUGCUGAGCAAAUUACUGAUGAUCUUUCUUCAAAUUACAAAACUCAUCUUUAAGAAAAAUAAUAUUUUUGGAAAAUUUAGAGAAGAUUCUUUUCUGAUAACUGUGAAUGUCACUACUGUGGUGAACCAAGUACCCUACAACACCUAAUACUGUCUUAAUGGACUCCAAAAAAUCUAUACCACUAUUCCAAGCCAAAGAAAGCAGGUGUAAUGAAGUUCUAUAGUAGACAGAUGCAACCUAGUUGGUAUGGAAAUCAGUGUGUUUACUAAUGUACUUUAGAGCUUAAAAAUAUUUUGUCAUGCAUAGAAAGCUGCUGAACACUAAUGGCUCUGACAUUUCAAAAUAUUAGAAAUCUGUUUUUCCUGAUGGUCAAAGUUGUAAUGAUUCAUAACUUGUUGACAUAUGUAUUCUACAUAAUUGAGUUAUUAAAACUUCAUUUUUUUUGUUCUAUAUGUAGGUUGUUUUUCAGCUACCAUACUAAGUGCUGGGUUGGGCUAAUUGGAUAGCCAGGUCAGGCUUGCUAACUAAUUAUUUGGUCAAGCAUGCCGACUUGUGUACAAUUUUAUUACACUUAAGACAUAAAAACAUUUUAUAGAAACUUCUACUCCAUGCUUCAAAAAUCCAUGAAAGUUUUUUUUCAUGUGCUAUCAUCAUAUAGAUGAUAUAAUGCUUGUUGUACAGCAUGGCUCAUUAGAGACUAGAUAUAAUGCUUAUUGUACACCAGCAUGGUUUAUUAGAAACCAGAUAUAAUGCUUAUUGUACACCAGCUUGGUUCAUUAGAAACCAGAUAUAAUAAUCAUUCAUUAGAGAGUGAAUAUAAUGCUAUUCGUAUAUGAACAUGGUUCAUUAGAAACUGGAGGUAAUGGUUAUUGUACACAACCUUGGUUCAUUGGAGACUGUAUAUAAUGUUUAUUUUAUAGGAACUUUGUUCAUAGCUUCCAAGUAUGAGACACAAGUUAUUCAGUUUCUGUUUAUGAUCAUGCCAAAGGAUGCUUAUAUGAUUGAACCAAAUGCCAGUGCUUGACCUACAGGCUAGCAUUAAUGUAACAGUGUCUAGCACAUGCUGUUCAAAUUAGGUAAAGUGGGGAUGAUAUAUAUGUUGCCUUUUAACCUCAGCCAAAUUUGGUAUGUUGAAACAUAUUCUCUACACUCACGGCUAUAGUAUUUGUAAGAAAAUUCACUUAAGUUAAUUGGAAUAAAAUUUUUACUGUACCGUGCACUUGAUAAUAAACAGCUUAUUUCCUCUUGUUGCAUCACUAGGGUUGAAAAGAAUCCAAUUACGAACUCGUAUAAAAGUUAUGCUGGACCAAGU
Molecule: unclassified non-coding RNA, 7319 nt
Filed under: Limulus polyphemus (Atlantic horseshoe crab)
Lineage: Eukaryota; Metazoa; Arthropoda; Merostomata; Xiphosura; Limulidae
Description: uncharacterized LOC106469663, transcript variant X2
Source: RNAcentral